UCAGUUUUUUGGAGCAGAAUAUAGUCUCAUAUUAUUAUAAGACUUUUAGAUUUUAUGAACUUUUAUGCAUACUGCUUGAAAGGUUUCUUUAUAUGUAUAUAUAUUUAAUAACUAGUGAUUUUAUAGCAACUGUGCGGCUAACAACCUUAUCAUUUUUAUUCUAACAAACUGAGAAUAUUAUUAAAAUGCCAAUCAGCUGUUUUCUAUCUUACUAUCUCGCUUUGCUAACGUCUAUAACCUACCAAUUUGUAUAACGAGUUAAUCAAAAUUAAUACUGCCGUCAGUCAAUGUCAAGGCUAUAAGAAAAUAAUUAUUUUUCUUAUUAUUGGCAACGGGGACACCUCGGUACAUAUUGUGGAAUAUUGCCCACUCUCUUGGAAACGGGAAAAUGUUACAAGUGGUUCUGCUACAGGGUGCGACCGGAGGGCCGCCGUGACUGCUUCCGGUGAAUAGUUUUUGGUGUUGUCCUGAUGGAUUCUCCUAUUGCUGAAGUAUGAUGGACUGAGUGGCGUUUUUUCGCCAAGGAACAAGUUAGGAUAUUGGAUUGCCAUGCGCAAAGACGGGUCAACCACAAUCAAUUGAAAAUUUUUAUAUUAAAGGGUAAAAUAAUUUUUCAUAUAUUGAAUUGCAAAUGUGAAGCUGUUAUUAAGAAUAAUGGAGUAAUAAUGUCAUUUAAUGCCACUUAUUAAUAAUUAUUGUUAUUCGGUACAUAUCUUUAAAAAUAAACUGAACCAAAUGUUGUGGCCCAUAAAAUGUUGCAGAUCAUAGAACAGUACUUCAAAUGCUGUUAAAUUUCUCGUGAUGUAUAUUUAUUUGAAUUCUUACAAAGCUUACUGUUUUAAUAUUUGUUUGACUCACACUAGAUCUCCCUUACAAAAAUUGAGAGAAUUUUAAUUAAUUGAUUAAAUUAUAUACUUCAAAGUUGAAAAAAAAACAUUAUUUUAUUUUAUAAAUUUAGACGAUUGUAUACGCGAAUACCAAUUAUUUAUAUCUAUAAGAUUACUCACCUGUUUUGAAGAUGAUGUUACAGCUGCUGCUGCUGCAUGUUUAUUUAUAACAUUGUUCUUUUCGUUUACUGAGGCUAAAGCCAUUUUAUCUGUUUGCUCCUGAUUGUUCUGUUGUUGUGUAUCAAUGGUUUGCGUUACGUUCAUAUCUCGAUUCUUUGUCAGGGACGACACAUUCCCA
This is a long non-coding RNA of Zeugodacus cucurbitae (melon fly), 1185 nucleotides long. RefSeq lists it as uncharacterized. The record is from RefSeq and is a predicted model, not a curated record. NCBI's taxonomy places the organism in Eukaryota, Metazoa, Arthropoda, Insecta, Diptera, Tephritidae. The transcript has 2 exons.